Long non-coding RNA from Lolium perenne, 2276 nucleotides. RefSeq lists it as uncharacterized. Lineage: Eukaryota; Viridiplantae; Streptophyta; Magnoliopsida; Poales; Poaceae. The record is from RefSeq and is a predicted model, not a curated record.
CACUAUAUAAAAGGUAAACCAGUCAACGCAUCUCAUAGAGAUUUGGGAACUGUUGAUGCGUCAAUUUCUCCUCUAUCCCUUCAAUUAUUUUGUGACACGUAUCCUUUCUAUUUUUCAUGUGGCGUUAUUCUUUCAAUUUGCGUUUUUUCUGGACUAAAUUAGAUACCGGUUACCGGUUGUUACAUGCUCUUCCGCUCGCCCCUCCCGGUUACUGCACGUUCUCUAAAAAUAUAUCUACCAAGUAGGCCCCACCUUCACCGUUUGGGGCCAUCUCAGCGCCGCUUUGACCGAUCCAGUAGAACCCAGUAGAUUCCUGAACGCUCAGACGCCUGUCCCGGCUGGCCUAAAUUCACGCCGUGCUGCACGCCUCCACCGCCCUCCCCCUUCCCCCGAUCCGCCGCCGCCGAGCUCCCCUGUCCGAUCUUCUUCGUCGCCGGCAGCGCCGUGUGUCGGAUCCUCACUGCCGUCGCGGCGCCCACCGAGGAAGUCCGGCUUCCCCGCCGGCUGGUUUGUCAUGUCCGUGUUCGAAGGCUAGCAGUGCGGCCGCCACGUCCGCUCCUACUGGCUACCAGGUACAGAUUUUCGUUCGCUUUUCCUCCGCUCGUGAAUAUGUUCGCGUUCGCCAUGGUUUCGUCGACGAGGGGGCAGAGGAUAGGCGGGGGUACAGGUGCCGCGAUUGCACAGCGGGAGCCUGGAAGGAAGGCAGUGGUGAUUCAACAGCGGAGACAUCGAUCCCAUGGUCGCUCAGGCUGAAGAUGUGUAUAGAGUAUCGACAAGAAUUUGGGUGCAUAAGAAGGGGCUGGGCCUAUGUGGCUAUGUGUAUGUCAUUUCCAGUAAGAAAAUUCCAAGAAUCAGAACCUGUUGUGGAGAUAUAUCACUUUCGUGUCUGAUGAAGCUGAACAAACGCUUGCUACUUUUCCAUCGAAUAUGCAAUCUUUAAGCCUUGGCCACAAUGCAAAAGCUAUCAAUCUGUGUAAGGUGAUCUAUUGUUCAGAAAGGUGCAACCAGUGUUUCUCUGUUGGUGUGUUACUCAGCACGCCAAAGUUAAGGGUUCUCGCACUAUCGAAGGCUGAUUCAACUGUCACAAGUUCAUUGAAAGAUGCCAUUGUCCACUAUCUUCCCUACAACCUAAAUGAGCUGAGUCAUGCGUACAUGCUACCGGGUACAGAUCUACAUGGUACAUGGAAGGUUCAGUUAUAGAUCAUCUUAUAUGGCCAUUUUUCUGGGGUUCAUAUAUACUCCAUUGAUGAAUACUGAUGAUUAUCCAUGAGUUCUUCACAUAGUUGCUACCAUGGAUAUAUUGAAUUAUAAGAGUGAUACUCUUCUCCUGUUGUAUUUGGUUGCCUUCGAGUAGCAUGUUAUCGAUUUAUGGCUGUUGAGUGCAUGUUCUGUUUAAUAACACCAAAUAAGCAUGAAUGUCAGAAUGAUCUUGACAGUUAACAGUUUUUAAGGUUAAUGGUUUGUAUGCUUUAAGGGAAAUGGAUAUUCCUCCGUCUACAAAGUGGCAUUUCACACUUCAAUGCCAGUAGUAUCCAGUUCGCUUAGUAUCUAUGCUAUGCAAUGAAAAUUAAUAAAACCAAGGGCAGACACUUGACAAGGCUGGUGUUUAUUUACCAAAGCCUGUUUUUUCGCACUGACAGUUUUGUAUUACUGUUUCAAGGGUAAUAUCGAGGAAAGGAUUAAGGAUACUUGCACUUGAUGAAUAUGGGGAACCAACUACAUAAACAAGGAACAUAAUAUACCAAGAAGUACUUGAUAAUCUCUAGAAAUAUUGUUUCAUCUGGCUCUCAAUUGCAAGUGGCAAGUAAGGUUACUUGUGACCGCCUGUCCAUGUUUGCCAAGGCUUCAGAUAAGUCGUUUACCCUAUAAUCCAAAUUCAGCUCCAGUGAUUGAGUAUGUACUAGAUCCUUUUGGAUUAGUGAGAUCACAUGACACGUACAGAUGCACUGUAUGAUGUACUGACAUGCAAGUCAGACCAAUUACAUUACGAAUCAAGAUCAUGCCACUGCGAUUAACAGAUUCAACAUAAAUUUCAAGGGGCAGUGGUUGCAAAAUCCUUGACCUGUCCAUAUAGGCUGGGACAGCUCCAGAGACUGAAGGUUUUGUUUAAGCGAUGCGAUUUCUGUUGAAUGGCAGCGUUAUGUUUCUCUGUGUGUCUGUACUCUGUAACCAACAGAGUGAACCCUACCUUCUGUUUUAACUAAGUUUGUGUAACUCCAGAUUGAUGUAACCAGUUCACUAACCAAUUGAUCAAUCAUUAUGCCGUGUUUGUACUA